AAUUAACUAUGUAAAGAAUGUCUUUUCCUGUGAUCCUCUCAAGUACAAAAAUCACCAUCUGAAAAGAUUUUAUUCGUUAUAAUUGCAUAAACGUCCAUUAAUUAUGUAUUCUAUUCUCCAUAAUCUGGCUAUACGAAGUAACAUAUCUUUGUUUUGUCGUGCACAAACAACAGGAUUUCUUAUACUCAAUUAAAUAAUCUGUUGCAAUCUCAGGGAAGUAGAAGAGUGGAGAAUCUCAGACGAUGUACUAUUCAGUAUUAGUGAAAUCGCUGGUGCGGGAUACUUGGGAUAACGGCGCACAAUAACUGUAGAUAAGAACUCUUGCAGCUAAAAAGCAAAAACAACUUGCUUUACAGAUAUCAAUAUGAAGUUGGUCAGCAAGCCCUGCUCCUAUUCUUGCUAAUGGAGAGCUAAGAUAUUAGAAAGAAUAACAAAGGGAGGGGGGGGAGAGGAGAGCAGUUGUUUUGUGGAUAAUUGAACCUGAAAUGACACAAAUUGAGAGGAAAUGUAAGAACUAAUCAAAGACUAAGCAAAAUUAUAGUGUUGAAUUGAUGAGAGAAUUCCUGGUAUGACAUCAUAACCACGGAAAUUUUAUCGGAAAGUACUAUAACGUUCAUUUCAUGGUAUGUUAUAUCUCAUUUGUACU
This is a long non-coding RNA of Lycium ferocissimum, 646 nucleotides long. RefSeq lists it as uncharacterized. NCBI's taxonomy places the organism in Eukaryota, Viridiplantae, Streptophyta, Magnoliopsida, Solanales, Solanaceae. The record is from RefSeq and is a predicted model, not a curated record. The transcript is spliced from 2 exons.